This 253-nucleotide ribosomal RNA is filed under the name uncultured bacterium. RNAcentral describes it as "partial 16S ribosomal RNA". It matches the Rfam family "Bacterial small subunit ribosomal RNA", at positions 524 to 776 of the family's 1533-position model. The record is from RNAcentral.
UACGUAGGGUGCAAGCGUUAUCCGGAAUCACUGGGCGUAAAGCGUGCGUAGGUGGGAAUUUAAGUGUGAUGUUAAAUCGUGUGGCUCAACCAUAUCGAUGCAUCGCAUACUGGGUUCCUAGAGGACGGCAGAGGCAAGUGGAAUUAGCAGUGUAGCAGUGAAAUGCGUAGAUAUUGCUAGGAACACCAAUGGCGAAGGCAGCUUGCUGGGCCCCUCCUGACACUGAGGUACGAAAGCGUGGGGAGCGAACAGG